GCCGCAUAUCUCUACUCCCCUUUCCCUUUUCUUCGUUUUAUGGAGAAAUGGCUAAAAGAGAAGCCACGGCCACCGGAUCGGUGCUGAUGAAGGGUUAGAUGACUCCUAAACGACCCUCUUACAAACAUAAAAGUCUAAACUAACUCUUCUAACUUCAAAAACCCCACAAAAUCGGUCCUAGGCUUAGGAUUAAAAGAAACUUGAUGCCUUUGGUUGAUGAAGAGGCGUUCUUCAUUCCAAUGAAGCAAAGACGGGAGUCUUCCACUGUGAAAGCACCGGACGAAGAAGGCGAUCACUAUGAUGGGGUGGUUCACGUUUUUAAAGCAUCAUAUUUUUGAGUUGUUGUGUUGUUACCGUUUUUCGGUUAGGUUUUAAAUUUGAGUUUCGACUUGAUUAAUUUGAUUAGAGUUGUUAUCGAUUAUUUUAAAACGAA
Long non-coding RNA from Hibiscus syriacus, 433 nucleotides. RefSeq lists it as uncharacterized. The record is from RefSeq and is a predicted model, not a curated record. The transcript has 2 exons. Lineage: Eukaryota; Viridiplantae; Streptophyta; Magnoliopsida; Malvales; Malvaceae.